UAGGGAAUAUUGCACAAUGGGGGAAACCCUGAUGCAGCGACGCCGCGUGAGUGAUGAAGGCCUUCGGGUCGUAAAGCUCUGUCGUAUGGGACUAACAAAAUGAAGGUACCAUGCAAGAAAGGAUCGGCUAACUUCGUGCCAGCAGCCGCGGUAAGACGAGGGAUCCUAGCGUUGUUCGGAAUUAUUGGGCGUAAAGCGGGUGUAGGCGGACUUAUAAGUCAGGUGUGAAAUCCCAGGGCUCAACCCUGGAAGUGCACUUGAUACUGCAAGUCUUGAGUGUGGUAGAGGCUAUUAGAAUUCCUGGUGUAGUGGUGAAAUACGUAGAUAUCAGGAGGAAUACCGGAGGCGAAGGCGGAUAGCUGGGCCAACACUGACGCUGAGACCCGAAAGCGUGGGGAUCAAACAGGAUUAGAUACCCAAGUAGUCCCUGAGCGGGCUGGCAAGGCGCAU
This 450-nucleotide ribosomal RNA is filed under the name uncultured bacterium. Its description in RNAcentral is "bacterial SSU rRNA". It matches the Rfam family "Bacterial small subunit ribosomal RNA", at positions 355 to 825 of the family's 1533-position model. The record is from RNAcentral.